This 492-nucleotide ribosomal RNA is filed under the name uncultured bacterium. RNAcentral describes it as "partial 16S ribosomal RNA". It matches the Rfam family "Bacterial small subunit ribosomal RNA", at positions 28 to 507 of the family's 1533-position model. The record is from RNAcentral.
GAUGAACGCUGGCGGCGUGCCUAACACAUGCAAGUCGAACGGAAGGACAGUAAGUUUUUGCUUUUACGGGUAGCGGCUGGCGGGCGAGUAACGCGUGUAUCAUCUUCUUCCUUUUCGUGGAGGAUAACGUAGGGACGGCUACGAUAACACAUCAUAUUCUGUACCGGGGAGAGCAAGGGAUAUUUGCAGCUUUUGUGUCUGUAUUAGCUGAUGUCGUAUUAGCUAGUUGGGGGGGUAAAGGCCCACCAUGGCGACGCUCCGUAGCUGGUCUGAGAGGAUGAUCAGCCACACUGGAACUGAGACACGGUCCAGACUCCUACGGGAGGCAGCAGUGGGGAAUAUUGGACAAUGGGCGCAAGCCUGAUCCAGCCAUACCGCGUGGGUGAAGAAGGCCUUCGGGUUGUAAAGCCCUUUUGUUGGGAAAGAAAAGCAGCAGGUUAAUACCCCGCUGUUCUGACGGUACCCAAAGAAGAAGCACCGGCUAACUUCGUG